This 503-nucleotide ribosomal RNA is filed under the name uncultured bacterium. RNAcentral describes it as "partial 16S ribosomal RNA". It matches the Rfam family "Bacterial small subunit ribosomal RNA", at positions 30 to 523 of the family's 1533-position model. The record is from RNAcentral.
AUUGAACGCUGGCGGCAGGCCUAACACAUGCAAGUCGAACGGUAGCACAGAGAGCUUGCUCUCGGGUGACGAGUGGCGGACGGGUGAGUAAUGUCUGGGAAACUGCCCGAUGGAGGGGGAUAACUACUGGAAACGGUAGCUAAUACCGCAUAACGUCGCAAGACCAAAGUGGGGGACCUUCGGGCCUCACACCAUCGGAUGUGCCCAGAUGGGAUUAGCUAGUUGGUGGGGUAAUGGCUCACCAAGGCGACGAUCCCUAGCUGGUCUGAGAGGAUGACCAGCCACACUGGAACUGAGACACGGUCCAGACUCCUACGGGAGGCAGCAGUGGGAAUAUUGCACAAUGGGCGCAAGCCUGAUGCAGCCAUGCCGCGUGUAUGAAGAAGGCCUUCGGGUUGUAAAGUACUUUCAGCGAGGAGGAAGGCAUUAAGGUUAAUAACCUUAGUGAUUGACGUUACUCGCAGAAGAAGCACCGGCUAACUCCGUGCCAGCAGCCGCUGUAA